RNAcentral lists this transfer RNA (74 nucleotides) under Capsicum annuum. It matches the Rfam family "tRNA". Rfam says of the family: Transfer RNA (tRNA) molecules are approximately 80 nucleotides in length. Their secondary structure includes four short double-helical elements and three loops (D, anti-codon, and T loops). Further hydrogen bonds mediate the characteristic L-shaped molecular structure. tRNAs have two regions of fundamental functional importance: the anti-codon, which is responsible for specific mRNA codon recognition, and the 3' end, to which the tRNAs corresponding amino acid is attached (by aminoacyl-tRNA synthetases). tRNAs cope with the degeneracy of the genetic code in two manners: having more than one tRNA (with a specific anti-codon) for a particular amino acid; and 'wobble' base-pairing, i.e. permitting non-standard base-pairing at the 3rd anti-codon position. The record is from Rfam by way of RNAcentral. Lineage: Eukaryota; Viridiplantae; Streptophyta; Magnoliopsida; Solanales; Solanaceae.
UGCGGGGUAGAGCAAUUUAGUAGCUCACAAGUCUCAUAACCUUGAGGUCACAGGUUCAAAUCCUGUCUCCGCAA